RNAcentral lists this ribosomal RNA (448 nucleotides) under uncultured bacterium. RNAcentral's name for it is "bacterial SSU rRNA". It matches the Rfam family "Bacterial small subunit ribosomal RNA", at positions 335 to 799 of the family's 1533-position model. The record is from RNAcentral.
ACUCCUACGGGAGGCAGCAGUGGGGAAUAUUGCACAAUGGGCGAAAGCCUGAUGCAGCAACGCCGCGUGAACGAUGAAGGCCUUCGGGUUGUAAAGUUCUUUUCUUAGAGAAGAAUCCAUGACGGUAUCUAAGGAAUAAGCCCCGGCUAACUACGUGCCAGCAGCCGCGGUAAUACGUAGGGGCAAGCGUUAUCCGGAAUCACUGGGCGUAAAGGGAGUGUAGGCGGUCAAGCAAGUCAGAGGUGAAAGGCAUCGGCUCAACCGGUGUAAGCCUUUGAAACUGUUUGACUUGAGUGCAGGAGAGGUAAGUGGAAUUCCUAGUGUAGCGGUGAAAUGCGUAGAUAUUAGGAGGAACACCAGUGGCGAAGGCGACUUACUGGACUGUAACUGACGCUGAGGCUCGAAAGCGUGGGGAGCGAACAGGAUUAGAUACCCUGGUAGCACAGAG